This is a non-coding RNA of Pteropus alecto (black flying fox), 46 nucleotides long. Lineage: Eukaryota; Metazoa; Chordata; Mammalia; Chiroptera; Pteropodidae. The record is from Rfam.
CCAAAGGCUCUUUUCAGAGCCACCCAGAGAACUCCGGAAGCAGCUG